UUAACAGAUGAACGUUUGUAAUGGAUUUUGAUGGGUAUGCAGAAGUUGGCUAGUCAAUACCUGAAGAGAGAUUGGCCUGGAGUAAAAGCUGAUGAUCGGAAUGAUUACAGGAGCAUGUAUCCCGUUUGGAAAUCUUUUCUCGAGGGAACAAUGCAGGUAGCCCAGUCUCGGAUGAAUAUAUGUGAAAACUAUAAAAACUUCAUUUCUGAGCCUGCAAGGACAGUGAGAAGCUUAAAAGAACAGCAACUAAAAAGGUGUGUGGACCAGUUGACAAAGAUCCAAACUGAAUUACAAGAGACAGUGAAAGAUUUAGCUAAAGGCAAAAAGAAAUACUUUGAGACUGAACAGAUGGCUCAUGCAGUACGAGAGAAAGCUGACAUCGAGGCAAAAUCUAAACUUAGUCUUUUUCAAUCAAGAAUCAGUUUACAGAAGGCAAGUGUAAAGGUAAG
This 449-nucleotide long non-coding RNA is filed under the name Pan troglodytes (chimpanzee). Its description in RNAcentral is "long non-coding RNA NONPTRT003139". The record is from RNAcentral. Lineage: Eukaryota; Metazoa; Chordata; Mammalia; Primates; Hominidae.